GGAGCCGGAGGGAAACCGAGUCUUAAUUGGGCGUUAAGUUGCAGGGUAUAGACCCGAAACCCGGUGAUCUAGCCAUGGGCAGGUUGAAGGUUGGGUAACACUAACUGGAGGACCGAACCGACUAAUGUUGAAAAAUUAGCGGAUGACCUGUGGCUGGGGGUGAAAGGCCAAUCAAACCGGGAGAUAGCUGGUUCUCCCCGAAAGCUAUUUAGGUAGCGCCUCGUGAAUUCAUCUCCGGGGGUAGAGCACUGUUUCGGCUAGGGGGCCAUCCCGGCUUACCAACCCGAUGCAAACUGCGAAUACCGGAGAAUGUUAUCACGGGAGACACACGGCGGGUGCUAACGUCCGUCGUGAAGAGGGAAACAACCCAGACCGCCAGCUAAGGUCCCAAAGUCAUGGUUAAGUGGGAAACGAUGUGGGAAGGCCCAGACAGCCAGGAUGUUGGCUUAGAAGCAGCCAUCAUUUAAAGAAAGCGUAAUAGCUCACUGGUCGAGUCGGCCUGCGCGGAAGAUGUAACGGGGCUAAACCAUGCACCGAAGCUGCGGCAGCGACACUGUGUGUUGUUGGGUAGGGGAGCGUUCUGUAAGCCUGUGAAGGUGUGUCGUGAGGCAUGCUGGAGGUAUCAGAAGUGCGAAUGCUGACAUAAGUAACGAUAAAGCGGGUGAAAAGCCCGCUCGCCGGAAGACCAAGGGUUCCUGUCCAACGUUAAUCGGGGCAGGGUGAGUCGACCCCUAAGGCGAGGCCGAAAGGCGUAGUCGAUGGGAAACGGGUUAAUAUUCCCGUACUUGGUGUUACUGCGAAGGGGGGACGGAGAAGGCUAUGUUGGCCGGGCGACGGUU
Molecule: ribosomal RNA, 839 nt
Filed under: Salmonella enterica
Lineage: Bacteria; Pseudomonadati; Pseudomonadota; Gammaproteobacteria; Enterobacterales; Enterobacteriaceae
Description: partial 23S ribosomal RNA
Rfam family: Bacterial large subunit ribosomal RNA
Source: RNAcentral